Molecule: ribosomal RNA, 292 nt
Filed under: uncultured bacterium
Lineage: Bacteria
Description: partial 16S ribosomal RNA
Rfam family: Bacterial small subunit ribosomal RNA
Source: RNAcentral
GUGCCAGCAGCCGCGGUAAUACGUAGGGUCCGAGCGUUGUCCGGAAUUAUUGGGCGUAAAGGGCUCGUAGGCGGUUUGUCGCGUCGGGAGUGAAAACCCAGGGCUUAACUCUGGGCUUGCUUUCGAUACGGGCAGACUUGAGGCAUGCAGGGGAGAAUGGAAUUCCUGGUGUAGCGGUGAAAUGCGCAGAUAUCAGGAGGAACACCGGUGGCGAAGGCGGUUCUCUGGGCAUGUUCUGACGCUGAGGAGCGAAAGUGUGGGGAGCGAACAGGAUUAGAAACCCCGGUAGUCC